Molecule: long non-coding RNA, 327 nt
Organism: Microplitis demolitor
Lineage: Eukaryota; Metazoa; Arthropoda; Insecta; Hymenoptera; Braconidae
Exons: 3
Source: RefSeq, a predicted model, not a curated record
CGACCGCAAGCAGACAGCGGUUGAGAAGUUGACUGCAGUUGUUUAACCCCUUUGUCUUGCUUUAUAAGUCAUCGAGAUCGUUUUUGGCUGCUAGAGGAUACGAAUGACGACAUUUAAUAUCGAUGAUAUUUUUUGGAUAUCUUGAGUAGUUACGUGCUGGAAUCUUUGUUCAUCAUCACUUUCUUCACUGAUGUUUCGUUGGUGUAAAAAUACUUUGAGAAAAAAAUAAACUUCAGUGAGAAAUAAAUUGGAGUAAACUUUAUUCAUUGAUUCUGAUAAUCAUGGAUCUCCUGUGCUGGUUCCGGAUGCUGGAAGCGCAGAAAUACG